Molecule: long non-coding RNA, 469 nt
Organism: Sinocyclocheilus grahami
Lineage: Eukaryota; Metazoa; Chordata; Actinopteri; Cypriniformes; Cyprinidae
Exons: 5
Source: RefSeq, a predicted model, not a curated record
UUUAGGUUUUCGUUUUAUGUCUGCAGAGUAAAAACUCAGAAGUCUUUAACGGAGAACAACGUAUCUAACAAGCUCUGCUUUCAAGCCAGGAUUUUAUCAAGGUGUGGACGUGAAGCGUGUCGAAAACUGAUCGGCUUCUUUUUCACAUGUGACCAAACACUGACCGUGUACGAGUACCGAAAUGUUGGUAAAACAGAUGGAACGCACUGCCCUUUAUCGCGCGUGGUGUGCAUUUGAACAGAGGGAGGCCGUACUGCCUGCAGACAUCUCACAGGGUGCCGAGCUUCAUUUCUGUACAGACGGCCCACACCUCCCCCAAAGUCUGAGACAGCAGCCGUGCCUGACCCUCAGAGUUACUGAUGUGGAUGAUACAGCCAAGGGAGCCCUGCUAACUCAGUCUGGGGAAACUUUACAUCAUCUCUCUGAAGAGGAAAUCAACGAUCGAAAUGCUCUAAAGGAAAUUCAAGGU